RNAcentral lists this long non-coding RNA (648 nucleotides) under Ananas comosus (pineapple). Its description in RNAcentral is "long non-coding RNA (ACOM_LNC029827)". The record is from RNAcentral. Lineage: Eukaryota; Viridiplantae; Streptophyta; Magnoliopsida; Poales; Bromeliaceae.
ACAGGAGAAAAAAUGAGUACGUCUCCUAUACUUUCGAAAGUACAGAGGCCUCCGUGUUUAUAAGUUGUUUUUUAAUGAUGGAGCAUCUGAUUCGGCGAUCGGCUUCAUUAGGCAUAAUCUACACAAUUAGAACUAUUUGGAAACUAAAUUUCAUAAUUUUUCAAUAUCAUUUACCAAGUGAUUAAAGAAUAUCAAAAAUGACUAUUUUAACGACCGAUGUGGCACGUUUGAAAGUUCAACGGUGUAGAAGAAUACAAAUUACAUGAAAUUUUUUAAGAAAAUUUUGCUUAAUAUCAAGAGUAAGAACAAUACUUUUGAUUUGAAAUAUGAGUCUUUUAUCAUUAUUUUUUGUGAGAUUUUUAUUUUCAGCCGUUCAUUUUGAGCCUACUUGUUCACUAGGUAAAUGAAAUUAAAAAUUUAUGAAAUUUGGUUUCUAAAUAGUUCCAAUAACGUAGAUCAUGUCUAAUGCAGCCGAUCACCGAAUCGGAUGCUCCAUUAUCGAAAAUAACUUAUAAGUAUGAAGGCCUCCAUACUUUCAAAAAUAUAGAAGCCUAGCUCAGAAAAAAUAAUAUAGCAGUUAAUUCAGUUGUCAUAUUAUCUAAAAAACGGUGCGGUGACUAAUACAUCUCGCAAUUCUAAACGAAACAU